RNAcentral lists this small RNA (1236 nucleotides) under Pan troglodytes (chimpanzee). Its description in RNAcentral is "retained intron". The record is from RNAcentral. Lineage: Eukaryota; Metazoa; Chordata; Mammalia; Primates; Hominidae.
CAGAAUGUUGGCUACCAGGGUAUUUAGCCUAGUUGGCAAGCGAGCAAUUUCCACCUCUGUGUGUGUACGAGCUCAUGAAAGUGUUGUGAAGAGCGAAGACUUUUCGCUCCCAGCUUAUAUGGAUCGGCGUGACCACCCCUUGCCGGAGGUGGCCCAUGUCAAGCACCUGUCUGCCAGCCAGAAGGCCUUGAAGGAGAAGGAGAAGGCCUCCUGGAGCAGCCUCUCCAUGGAUGAGAAAGUCGAGUGUGGGUAUUGAAGGGACCCACAGGCGCGCCCAGCAGCUCUCAGAAGUGUGUGUGUGACAGAGCCUCUGCUCACUUCUGGGCCUACUGUCUAGAGAGCAGUCUUGCACAGGAGGGUUGCUCUGCUGGGUUUCGGGGUCACUGUCCCAGGGCCCUAGUUUAUGUGCUCACCAGUCACUUAGCUCUGCCAGCUGACAGGAUCUUUUGCUAGGCCCCCUUCUCUGUGCUGAGUGGAGGUACCCUCUCAGCAUAUCUGCUGGGUAAGACAUUGUUAACUGUAAAUUAUUGAAAGAAACUCAGCAAAAUGCAUAGUGUUUGGUAUGAAAGGGGCAGAAAAAUAACAAGAUUAAAUAGACCCUAAUACUGUAAUUCAAGUAAGAAAUAAUUUUGCAGUUUUAAUUUGCACCUGAAGCGAACUGUAUGCAUUUUCUUCCUUCCUUGCCCUGUCACAUGCCUGCGUGGGCACGUGUGUGCACGUACGUGCAUGAACAUGAUGUGGCCUGGGUUGGUGUAUCCUUCAGCUCUGUGUUUCCUCCUUCACAAGUGUGGUUUUGGGGAGAAGUGGUUGAAUGUUGCAGAGGAGGGAGCUGCUGACCUUUGUGCCUGUAAAUGGCUGUCCUCUCUGCCCCCAGUGUAUCGCAUUAAGUUCAAGGAGAGCUUUGCUGAGAUGAACAGGGGCUCGAACGAGUGGAAGACGGUUGUGGGCGGUGCCAUGUUCUUCAUCGGUUUCACCGCGCUCGUUAUCAUGUGGCAGAAGCACUAUGUGUACGGCCCCCUCCCGCAAAGCUUUGACAAAGAGUGGGUGGCCAAGCAGACCAAGAGGAUGCUGGACAUGAAGGUGAACCCCAUCCAGGGCUUAGCCUCCAAGUGGGACUACGAAAAGAACGAGUGGAAGAAGUGAGAGAUGCUGGCCUGCGCCUGCACCUGCGCCUGGCUCUGUCACCGCCAUGCAACUCCAUGCCUAUUUACUGGAAACCUGUUAUGCCAAACAGUU